UUGUGACCUCAAAUCAGAUGGAUUACCCG
This 29-nucleotide ribosomal RNA is filed under the name Lachnella villosa. RNAcentral describes it as "partial 25S ribosomal RNA". Lineage: Eukaryota; Fungi; Basidiomycota; Agaricomycetes; Agaricales; Niaceae. The record is from RNAcentral.